Molecule: ribosomal RNA, 1445 nt
Filed under: Campylobacter jejuni
Lineage: Bacteria; Pseudomonadati; Campylobacterota; Epsilonproteobacteria; Campylobacterales; Campylobacteraceae
Description: partial 23S ribosomal RNA
Rfam family: Bacterial large subunit ribosomal RNA
Source: RNAcentral
AGGUAAGCUACUAAGAGCGAAUGGUGGAUGCCUUGACUGGUAAAGGCGAUGAAGGACGUACUAGACUGCGAUAAGCUACGGGGAGCUGUCAAGAAGCUUUGAUCCGUAGAUUUCCGAAUGGGGCAACCCAAUGUAUAGAGAUAUACAUUACCUAUAUAGGAGCGAACGAGGGGAAUUGAAACAUCUUAGUACCCUCAGGAAAAGAAAUCAAUAGAGAUUGCGUCAGUAGCGGCGAGCGAAAGCGCAAGAGGGCAAACCCAGUGCUUGCACUGGGGGUUGUAGGACUGCAAUGUGCAAGAGGUAAGUUUAGCAGAACAUUCUGGAAAGUAUAACCAUAGAGGGUGAUAGUCCCGUAUGCGAAAAACAAACCUUAGCUAGCAGUAUCCUGAGUAGGGCGGGACACGAGGAAUCCUGUCUGAAUCCGGGUCGACCACGAUCCAACCCUAAAUACUAAUACCAGAUCGAUAGUGCACAAGUACCGUGAGGGAAAGGUGAAAAGAACUGAGGUGAUCAGAGUGAAAUAGAACCUGAAACCAUUUGCUUACAAUCAUUCAGAGCCCUAUGUAGCAAUACAGGGUGAUGGACUGCCUUUUGCAUAAUGAGCCUGCGAGUUGUGGUGUCUGGCAAGGUUAAGCAAACGCGAAGCCGUAGCGAAAGCGAGUCUGAAUAGGGCGCUUAGUCAGAUGCUGCAGACCCGAAACGAAGUGAUCUAUCCAUGAGCAAGUUGAAGCUAGUGUAAGAACUAGUGGAGGACUGAACCCAUAGGCGUUGAAAAGCCCCGGGAUGACUUGUGGAUAGGGGUGAAAGGCCAAUCAAACUUCGUGAUAGCUGGUUCUCUCCGAAAUAUAUUUAGGUAUAGCGUUGUGUCGUAAUAUAAGGGGGUAGAGCACUGAAUGGGCUAGGGCAUACACCAAUGUACCAAACCCUAUCAAACUCCGAAUACCUUAUAUGUAAUCACAGCAGUCAGGCGGCGAGUGAUAAAAUCCGUCGUCAAGAGGGAAACAACCCAGACUACCAGCUAAGGUCCCUAAGUCUUACUUAAGUGGAAAACGAUGUGAAGUUACUUAAACAACCAGGAGGUUGGCUUAGAAGCAGCCAUCCUUUAAAGAAAGCGUAAUAGCUCACUGGUCUAGUGAUUUUGCGCGGAAAAUAUAACGGGGCUAAAGUAAGUACCGAAGCUGUAGACUUAGUUUACUAAGUGGUAGGAGAGCGUUCUAUUUGCGUCGAAGGUAUACCGGUAAGGAGUGCUGGAGCGAAUAGAAGUGAGCAUGCAGGCAUGAGUAGCGAUAAUUAAUGUGAGAAUCAUUAACGCCGUAAACCCAAGGUUUCCUACGCGAUGCUCGUCAUCGUAGGGUUAGUCGGGUCCUAAGUCGAGUCCGAAAGGGGUAGACGAUGGCAAAUUGGUUAAUAUUCCAAUACCAACAUUAGUGUGCGAUGGAAGGACG